UCACUUCCGUUUCUAGAAAGAGGGUGUCAUUGUCUUCCAUUGGAUUAAAAUCAGGAGGCACAUGGAUACUUUUAUUUGCUGGCUUAUUUCGACUAGAAGUUGUUGUAGUAUUUCUAUUUUCGCCAAUAAUAGUACUUUUUUCAGCAUUAAUCCUUAAGCUUUGUCCCUGACCCCUUGCAUCACUGGUCAAAGUGUAUUGAUUCAUUUCAGCUUCUAGAUGGAGGGUAGCAUUGUCUUCCUUUUCCUCAAAACAAGGAUGGACAUGGAAACUAUUAUCUCCUAGAUUAUUCAACUUAGAAGUUGCUGUAUAGUAACUUCUAUUUU
Molecule: long non-coding RNA, 324 nt
Filed under: Solanum tuberosum (potato)
Lineage: Eukaryota; Viridiplantae; Streptophyta; Magnoliopsida; Solanales; Solanaceae
Description: long non-coding RNA (STUB_LNC008147)
Source: RNAcentral